CCUACGGGAGGCUGCAGUGGGGAAUAUUGGACAAUGGGCGAAAGCCUGAUCCAGCCAUGCCGCGUGUGUGAAGAAGGCCUUCGGGUUGUAAAGCACUUUCAGUGGGGAAGAAAGCCUUGGGGCUAAUACCCUCGAGGAAGGACAUCACCCACAGAAGAAGCACCGGCUAACUCCGUGCCAGCAGCCGCGGUAAUACGGAGGGUGCGAGCGUUAAUCGGAAUUACUGGGUGUAAAGCGCGCGUAGGCGGUCUGAUAAGCCGGUUGUGAAAGCCCCGGGCUCAACCUGGGAACGGCAUCCGGAACUGUCAGGCUAGAGUGCAGGAGAGGAAGGUAGAAUUCCCGGUGUAGCGGUGAAAUGCGUAGAGAUCGGGAGGAAUACCAGUGGCGAAGGCGGCCUUCUGGACUGACACUGACGCUGAGGUGCGAAAGCGUGGGUAGCAAACAGGAUUAGAUACCCGGGUAGUC
This 465-nucleotide ribosomal RNA is filed under the name Vreelandella stevensii. RNAcentral describes it as "partial 16S ribosomal RNA". It matches the Rfam family "Bacterial small subunit ribosomal RNA", at positions 338 to 795 of the family's 1533-position model. Lineage: Bacteria; Pseudomonadati; Pseudomonadota; Gammaproteobacteria; Oceanospirillales; Halomonadaceae. The record is from RNAcentral.